GGGGCUGUAGCUCAGUGGCAGAGCACUUGCCUGGCAUGUGUGAGGCACUGAGUUCGAUCCUUAGCACCA
RNAcentral lists this transfer RNA (69 nucleotides) under Ictidomys tridecemlineatus (thirteen-lined ground squirrel). RNAcentral describes it as "Spermophilus tridecemlineatus (thirteen-lined ground squirrel) tRNA". It matches the Rfam family "tRNA". Rfam says of the family: Transfer RNA (tRNA) molecules are approximately 80 nucleotides in length. Their secondary structure includes four short double-helical elements and three loops (D, anti-codon, and T loops). The record is from Rfam by way of RNAcentral. Lineage: Eukaryota; Metazoa; Chordata; Mammalia; Rodentia; Sciuridae.